Molecule: unclassified non-coding RNA, 306 nt
Filed under: plant metagenome
Description: partial contains 5.8S ribosomal RNA, internal transcribed spacer 2, and large subunit ribosomal RNA
Rfam family: 5.8S ribosomal RNA (bases 1-105)
Source: RNAcentral
GAAAUGCGAUAAGUAAUGUGAAUUGCAGAAUUCAGUGAAUCAUCGAAUCUUUGAACGCACAUUGCGCCCGCCAGUAUUCUGGCGGGCAUGCCUGUCCGAGCGUCAUUUCAACCAUCAAGCCCCCGGGCUUGUGUUGGGGACCUGCGGCUGCCCGCAGGCCCUGAAAACCAGUGGCGGGCUCGCUGUCACACCGAGCGUAGUAGCAAUCACCUCGCUCAGGGCGUGCUGCGGGUUCCGGCCGUUAAACAGCCUUACAAAACCCAAUGUUGACCUCGGAUCAGGUAGGAAGACCCGCUGAACUUAAGC